GGAUCCAGACUUUGAUCAUGGCUCAGGAUGAACGCUGGCGGCGUGCCUAACACAUGCAAGUCGAACGGAGUUACUUUGGUGAAGUUUUCGGAUGGAUCUGAUUUAACUUAGUGGCGGACGGGUGAGUAAUGCGUGAGCAACCUGCCCUUCAGAGGGGGACAACAGUUGGAAACGACUGCUAAUACCGCAUAAUGUAUUCGGGAGGCAUCUUCUGGAUACCAAAGGAGAAAUCCGCUGAUGGAUGGGCUCACGUCUGAUUAGCUAGUUGGUGAGGUAACGGCUCACCAAGGCUGCGAUCAGUAGCCGGACUGAGAGGUUGAACGGCCACAUUGGGACUGAGAUACGGCCCAGACUCCUACGGGAGGCAGCAGUGGGGAAUAUUGGGCAAUGGGCGAAAGCCUGACCCAGCAACGCCGCGUGAAGGAAGAAGGCCUUCGGGUUGUAAACUUCUUUUAAGAGGGACGAAGAAGUGACGGUACCUCUUGAAUAAGCCACGGCUAACUACGUGCCAGCAGCCGCGGUAAUACGUAGGUGGCGAGCGUUAUCCGGAUUUACUGGGUGUAAAGGGCGCGUAGGCGGGAAUGCAAGUCAGAUGUGAAAUCCAAGGGCUCAACCCUUGAACUGCAUUUGAAACUGUAUUUCUUGAGUGUCG
This 652-nucleotide ribosomal RNA is filed under the name uncultured Bacillota bacterium. Its description in RNAcentral is "bacterial SSU rRNA". It matches the Rfam family "Bacterial small subunit ribosomal RNA", at positions 1 to 651 of the family's 1533-position model. The record is from RNAcentral. Lineage: Bacteria; Bacillati; Bacillota.